Molecule: ribosomal RNA, 1533 nt
Filed under: Bacteroides fragilis YCH46
Lineage: Bacteria; Pseudomonadati; Bacteroidota; Bacteroidia; Bacteroidales; Bacteroidaceae
Description: 16S ribosomal RNA
Rfam family: Bacterial small subunit ribosomal RNA
Source: RNAcentral
UUACAAUGAAGAGUUUGAUCCUGGCUCAGGAUGAACGCUAGCUACAGGCUUAACACAUGCAAGUCGAGGGGCAUCAGGAAGAAAGCUUGCUUUCUUUGCUGGCGACCGGCGCACGGGUGAGUAACACGUAUCCAACCUGCCCUUUACUCGGGGAUAGCCUUUCGAAAGAAAGAUUAAUACCCGAUGGCAUAAUGAUUCCGCAUGGUUUCAUUAUUAAAGGAUUCCGGUAAAGGAUGGGGAUGCGUUCCAUUAGGUUGUUGGUGAGGUAACGGCCCACCAAGCCUUCGAUGGAUAGGGGUUCUGAGAGGAAGGUCCCCCACAUUGGAACUGAGACACGGUCCAAACUCCUACGGGAGGCAGCAGUGAGGAAUAUUGGUCAAUGGGCGAUAGCCUGAACCAGCCAAGUAGCGUGAAGGAUGAAGGCUCUAUGGGUCGUAAACUUCUUUUAUAUAAGAAUAAAGUGCAGUAUGUAUACUGUUUUGUAUGUAUUAUAUGAAUAAGGAUCGGCUAACUCCGUGCCAGCAGCCGCGGUAAUACGGAGGAUCCGAGCGUUAUCCGGAUUUAUUGGGUUUAAAGGGAGCGUAGGUGGACUGGUAAGUCAGUUGUGAAAGUUUGCGGCUCAACCGUAAAAUUGCAGUUGAUACUGUCAGUCUUGAGUACAGUAGAGGUGGGCGGAAUUCGUGGUGUAGCGGUGAAAUGCUUAGAUAUCACGAAGAACUCCGAUUGCGAAGGCAGCUCACUGGACUGCAACUGACACUGAUGCUCGAAAGUGUGGGUAUCAAACAGGAUUAGAUACCCUGGUAGUCCACACAGUAAACGAUGAAUACUCGCUGUUUGCGAUAUACAGUAAGCGGCCAAGCGAAAGCAUUAAGUAUUCCACCUGGGGAGUACGCCGGCAACGGUGAAACUCAAAGGAAUUGACGGGGGCCCGCACAAGCGGAGGAACAUGUGGUUUAAUUCGAUGAUACGCGAGGAACCUUACCCGGGCUUAAAUUGCAGUGGAAUGAUGUGGAAACAUGUCAGUGAGCAAUCACCGCUGUGAAGGUGCUGCAUGGUUGUCGUCAGCUCGUGCCGUGAGGUGUCGGCUUAAGUGCCAUAACGAGCGCAACCCUUAUCUUCAGUUACUAACAGGUCAUGCUGAGGACUCUGGAGAGACUGCCGUCGUAAGAUGUGAGGAAGGUGGGGAUGACGUCAAAUCAGCACGGCCCUUACGUCCGGGGCUACACACGUGUUACAAUGGGGGGUACAGAAGGCAGCUAGCGGGUGACCGUAUGCUAAUCCCAAAAGCCUCUCUCAGUUCGGAUCGAAGUCUGCAACCCGACUUCGUGAAGCUGGAUUCGCUAGUAAUCGCGCAUCAGCCACGGCGCGGUGAAUACGUUCCCGGGCCUUGUACACACCGCCCGUCAAGCCAUGGGAGCCGGGGGUACCUGAAGUACGUAACCGCAAGGAUCGUCCUAGGGUAAAACUGGUGACUGGGGCUAAGUCGUAACAAGGUAGCCGUACCGGAAGGUGCGGCUGGAACACCUCCUUUCU